CCCUAUGGGGUGCCGCAGGUUGCCAAGGUCAAGUCACCAAAAUUGGCCGAGGAUACGCCAAAGAGCGAAUGGCCGCUGGGCGUCCCGGCGAGAUACUGGCUGGACCUGCGAGCCUACAAGCCUGCCGAUGAGGCCAAAGAGGUAUCGCAGCCCAUGCUCAUUUUGCAGGGGGAGAGGGAUUAUCAGGUGACGAUGGAGGAUUUUGCCAACUGGAAGAGAGCAUUGGGGGCAAGGAAGGACGUGAGUUUCAUUUCCUACCCCAAGCUGAACCACCUGUUCAUGGAAGGCGAUGGCAAAAGCAGUCCUGCGGAGUAUUCGAUGCCGGGCAACGUGGCGGGAGGGC
RNAcentral lists this ribosomal RNA (343 nucleotides) under uncultured prokaryote. RNAcentral's name for it is "partial 16S ribosomal RNA". The record is from RNAcentral.